GACGAACGCUGGCGGCGUGCCUAAUACAUGCAAGUAGAACGCACAGUUUAUACCGUAGCUUGCUACACCAUAAACUGUGAGUUGCGAACGGGUGAGUAACGCGUAGGUAACCUGCCCGGUAGCGGGGGAUAACUAUUGGAAACGAUAGCUAAUACCGCAUAAUAUUAAUUAUUGCAUGAUAAUUGAUUGAAAGAUGCAAUUGCAUCACUACCAGAUGGGCCUGCGUUGUAUUAGCUAGUAGGUGAGGUAACGGCUCACCUAGGCGACGAUACAUAGCCGAACUGAGAGGGUGAUCGGCAACACUGGGACUGAGACACGGCCCAGACUCCUGAGGGAGGCAGCAGUAGGGAAUCUUCGGCAAUGGACGGAAGUCUGACCGAGCAACGCCGCGUGAGUGAGGCAGGUUUUCGGAUCGUAAAGCUCGGUUGUAAGAGAAGAACGGGUGUGAGAGUGGAAAGUUCACACUAUGACGGUAUCUUACCAGAAAGGGACGGCUAACUACGUG
RNAcentral lists this ribosomal RNA (505 nucleotides) under uncultured bacterium. Its description in RNAcentral is "partial 16S ribosomal RNA". It matches the Rfam family "Bacterial small subunit ribosomal RNA", at positions 28 to 507 of the family's 1533-position model. The record is from RNAcentral.